CUGGAGAUAGCUGGUUCUCCCCGAAAACUAUUUAGGUAGUGCCUCAUGUAUUACUCUCGGGGGUAGAGCACUGUUUCGGCUAGGGGGACAUCCCGUCCUACCAAACCGAUGCAAACUCCGAAUACCGAGAAGUAGAGCAUGGGAGACACACAGCGGGUGCUAACGUCCGUUGUGGAAAGGGAAACAACCCAGAUCGCCAACUAAGGUCCCAAAAUUACAGCUAAGUGGGAAACGAAGUGAGAAGUCAAAGACAGCCAGGAGGUUGGCUUAGAAGCAGCCAUCCUUUAAAGAAAGCGUAACAGCUCACUGGUCAAGUCGACUUGCGCGGAAGAUUUACCGGGGCUUAAGCUGUAUACCGAAGUUGCGAAUGCAUAUUUAUAUGCGUGGUAGGGGAGCGUUCUGUAAGUCUGUGAAGGUGUAUCGCGAGAUAUGCUGGAGAUAUCAGAAGUGAGAAUGCUGACAUGAGUAACGAUAAUGCGGGUGAAAAACCCGCACGCCGAAAACCCAAGGGUUCCUGCGCAAUGCUAAUCAGCGCAGGGUUAGUCGGUCCUAAGGCGAGACUGAAAAGUGUAGUCGAUGGACAACAGGUUAAUAUUCCUGUACCGCAAUUACUGCGAUGGGGGGACGGAGAAGGCUAAGCAUACCGGGUGUUGGUUAUCCCGGGAAAAGUAUGUAGGUAGAGAACUUUGGAAAAUCCGGGUUCUUAUUACUGAGAUACGAGACCAUUGAUUUUUUAAUCAAGAAGUUGCUGACGCCAUGCUUCCAAGAAAAGCCUCUAAGCUUCAGGUAUUACGUGACCGUACCCCAAACCGACACAGGUGGGUGGGAUGAGAAUUCUAAGGCGCUUGAGAAAACUCUGGUGAAGGAACUAGGCAAAUUGGUACCGUAACUUCGGAAGAAGGUACGCCUUUGUUGGUGAUUGAAUUUACUUCAUAAGCUGAUGGAGGUCUCAGAAACCAGGUGGCUGCGACUGUUUACUAAAAACACAGCACUCUGCUAACUCGUAAGAGGAUGUAUAGGGUGUGACGCCUGCCCGGUGCCGGAAGGUUAAUUGAUCGAGUUAGCCCUUUUUGGGCGAAGCCCGUGAUCGAAGCCCCGGUGAACGGCGGCCGUAACUAUAACGGUCCUAAGGUAGCGAAAUUCCUUGUCGGGUAAGUUCCGACCUGCACGAAUGGCGUAAUCAUGGCCACACUGUCUCCACCCGAGACUCAGUGAAAUUGAAUUUGCGGUUAAGAUGCCGUAUACCCGCGGCUAGACGGAAAGACCCCGUGAACCUUUACUAUAGCUUGACAGUGAACAUUGCUCCUACAU
RNAcentral lists this ribosomal RNA (1311 nucleotides) under marine metagenome. Its description in RNAcentral is "bacterial LSU rRNA". It matches the Rfam family "Bacterial large subunit ribosomal RNA", at positions 839 to 2135 of the family's 2925-position model. The record is from RNAcentral.